GCUUGCCAUCUCAGUAUCCAGUCAUUCCUCCAAUAUUCGAAAUAGAAGGCCAUGGAUCACUCAGUUCUGCCAAAGCUGACCAGCUUUAUUUGCUUCUCAUGAAGGAAGCUUGUUCUCGUCUUAACUCCCUCAUGAUUUACGAUCUCAUCACCAUCGCACAGGAUUUUGUGCAGGAAACAAUGGCAGAGGUCCGAGAGAGGAGGAAGAAAGAGGAAGUUACUGUUGAUGAAGAG
This is a non-coding RNA of Paramuricea clavata, 233 nucleotides long. The record is from the annotation of a GenBank genome assembly. Lineage: Eukaryota; Metazoa; Cnidaria; Anthozoa; Malacalcyonacea; Plexauridae.